Molecule: non-coding RNA, 529 nt
Organism: Gopherus evgoodei (Goodes thornscrub tortoise)
Lineage: Eukaryota; Metazoa; Chordata; Testudines; Testudinidae
Source: the annotation of a RefSeq genome assembly
GAUUUAAUUUCUCUGGUUUGAUUCUGUGAGAGAAACUUCACCAUAAAAUACUAUUCUAUCCAGGUUCCUGGAUUCACCCAUCAUUGUGGUAGCUUGAGCCCCUGAAGAUCUAGAAACAACAUAUUUAACCAUGAAGGAGCCAGAAAUCCUGCUUUGGACAGCAACAGCAUUUCUAUCUUUGAGUGCGGUGCUGGGUGACUCGAUCCGGUCAAAGGAACCCGAAGUGUCCAGGUCAGAAGGAGACACCGUGAGCCUUAUUUGUUCUUAUGGAACCCGCUACACUGCUGGUGUCUAUCUCUACUGGUACCGUCAGUAUCCGAACCGAGCCCCGCAGUACAUCCUCCUGAGAGGAACGAGAGAUGUCAGUUAUGCCAGCGAUACUGCAGGUUUUGCCCAGGAGAGGUUUUCUUCGCAGGCAAAUGACAGCUCCACAACUCUGAACAUCACAGCCCUGGAGCUGGCAGACACAGCGGUGUAUCUCUGCGCCCUGCGUCUGGCACAGUGACAGAGCCACAUAGCAGAGCUGUAC